Non-coding RNA from Carica papaya (papaya), 199 nucleotides. The record is from RefSeq and is a predicted model, not a curated record. Lineage: Eukaryota; Viridiplantae; Streptophyta; Magnoliopsida; Brassicales; Caricaceae.
UUUUACUCAAGCAUAUUUUCUAUAUAAAAGGCUGGAGGAGAAGAGAAAUAUCAAUUCAAAAAGUACGUACUCUCUUCACAGGAUUCUUCUCUCUCUCUCUUUAUCUUCCCUGAUAUUUCCUCAUUUGAUCAGAUGAAUUGUCUCCAUUAUCUUCCAAGAUCCUCUGCUCUGCCUAUGCAAAGCUUCAAAUGCCACAAAA